This 253-nucleotide ribosomal RNA is filed under the name uncultured bacterium. RNAcentral's name for it is "partial 16S ribosomal RNA". It matches the Rfam family "Bacterial small subunit ribosomal RNA", at positions 524 to 776 of the family's 1533-position model. The record is from RNAcentral.
UACGUAGGGGGCGAGCGUUGUCCGGAAUCAUUGGGCGUAAAGCGCGUGUAGGCGGCCCGGUAAGUCCGCUGUGAAAGUCCAGGGCUCAACCCUGGGAUGCCGGUGGAUACUGUCGGGCUCGAGUCCGGAAGAGGCGAGUGGAAUUCCUGGUGUAGCGGUGAAAUGCGCAGAUAUCAGGAGGAACACCAAUUGCGAAGGCAGCUCGCUGGGACGUGACUGACGCUGAGACGCGAAAGCGUGGGGAGCAAACAGG